UAGAUGUUUUUUAUAUUUUUUUUAGCUUUAGAUAUUAUUAGCGCUACUGCUUACUUUAUAGUGAAAAAUACAUACAUACAUAGAAAACACUGAACGAAUUUGUAAUUGCGAUUACUGGAAUAAUGUGUAGGCUAGUUAGUUUUUUUCAUACGGACAAGCAGUGGAUGUCGUGUUAUUUGGAUAUAAGUGUGUAUGAGUGUAUGAGGUAGUGUGAGGUAGUGUGAGGUUGUAUGAGGUGGUGUAGUCAGCAUGUAGCACAUAGCACAUUGCAGCUCGGAGCGAGCGCGCAGUCGUGUGAGCAGAGUGUACGUGCAGUGUGAGGUAGUGUGAGGUAGUGUAGUCAGCAUGUAGCACAUAGCACAUUGCAGCUCGGAGCGAGCGCGCAGUCGUGUGAGCAGAGUGUACGUGCAGUGUGAGGUUGUAUGAGGUAGUGUGAGGUAGUGUAGUCAGCAUGUAGCACAUAGCACAUUGCAGCUCGGAGCGAGCGCGCAGUCGUGUGAGCAGAGUGUACGUGCAGUGUGAGGUAGUGUGAGGUAGUGUGAGGUGGUGUGAGGUGGUGUAGUGAGCAUGUAGCACAUAGCACAUUGCAGCUCGGAGCGAGCGCGCAGUCGUGUGAGCAGAGUGUACGUGCAGUGUGAGGUAGUGUGAGGUAGUGUAGUCAGCAUGUAGCACAUAGCACAUUGCAGCUCGGAGCGAGCGCGCAGUCGUGUGAGCAGAGUGUACGUGCAGUGUGAGGUAGUGUGAGGUUGUAUGAGGUAGUGUGAGGUGGUGUAGUCAGCAUGUAGCACAUAGCACAUUGCAGCUCGGAGCGAGCGCGCAGUCGUGUGAGCAGAGUGUACGUGCAGUGUGAGGUAGUGUGAGGUGGUGUAGUCAGCAUGUAGCACAUAGCACAUUGCAGCUCGGAGCGAGCGCGCAGUCGUGUGAGCAGAGUGUACGUGCAGUGUGAGGUAGUGUGAGGUUGUAUGAGGUAGUGUGAGGUGGUGUAGUCAGCAUGUAGCACAUAGCACAUUGCAGCUCGGAGCGAGCGCGCAGUCGUGUGAGCAGAGUGUACGUGCAGUGUGAGGUAGUGUGAGGUGGU
This is a long non-coding RNA of Papilio machaon (common yellow swallowtail), 1078 nucleotides long. RefSeq lists it as uncharacterized. The transcript is spliced from 4 exons. The record is from RefSeq and is a predicted model, not a curated record. NCBI's taxonomy places the organism in Eukaryota, Metazoa, Arthropoda, Insecta, Lepidoptera, Papilionidae.